GAUGAACGCUGGCGGCGUGCCUAAUACAUGCAAGUCGAGCGAACAGAUGAGGAGCUUGCUCCUCUGACGUUAGCGGCGGACGGGUGAGUAACACGUGGAUAACCUACCUAUAAGACUGGGAUAACUUCGGGAAACCGGAGCUAAUACCGGAUAAUAUAUUGAACCGCAUGGUUCAAUAGUGAAAGACGGUUUUGCUGUCACUUAUAGAUGGAUCCGCGCCGCAUUAGCUAGUUGGUAAGGUAACGGCUUACCAAGGCAACGACGCGUAGCCGACCUGAGAGGGUGAUCGGCCACACUGGAACUGAGACACGGUCCAGACUCCUACGGGAGGCAGCAGUAGGGAAUCUUCCGCAAAGGGCGAAAGCCUGACGGAGCAACGCCGCGUGAGUGAUGAAGGUCUUCGGAUCGUAAAACUCUGUUAUUAGGGAAGAACAAAUGUGUAAGUAACUAUGCACGUCUUGACGGUACCUAAUCAGAAAGCCACGGCUAACUACGUG
RNAcentral lists this ribosomal RNA (497 nucleotides) under uncultured bacterium. Its description in RNAcentral is "partial 16S ribosomal RNA". It matches the Rfam family "Bacterial small subunit ribosomal RNA", at positions 28 to 507 of the family's 1533-position model. The record is from RNAcentral.